GUGCUCGCUUCAGCAGCACAUAUACUAAAAUUACUAGAAUGAUACAGAGAAGAUUAGCAUGGCCCCUGUGCAAGGACGACAUGCAAAUUUGUGAAGCAUUUCAUAUUUUU
This is a small nuclear RNA of Myotis lucifugus (little brown bat), 110 nucleotides long. NCBI's taxonomy places the organism in Eukaryota, Metazoa, Chordata, Mammalia, Chiroptera, Vespertilionidae. The record is from Ensembl.